Molecule: long non-coding RNA, 1616 nt
Organism: Sciurus carolinensis (gray squirrel)
Lineage: Eukaryota; Metazoa; Chordata; Mammalia; Rodentia; Sciuridae
Exons: 3
Source: RefSeq, a predicted model, not a curated record
GUUAUUGAAGGAAUUGCUUUGUCGUAAAAGCAAGCUCUCUCUGGAAGCUUGAUCUGUCUUGAUAUGUGAUGUCUUCCGCCACAUUGUGAUGCAGCAAGAAGGUCCUCAUCAGAUGUUGAGGGGAUACUGGAGCCAUGCUCUUAUACUUUCCAACCUCCAGAACUAUGUGAAAAUAACCACUACGGGAGAGUGUGACUUGCUGAUGGCACAGCCAGUUCUGGAGACUGGGAAGCUCAAGCUGAAGGCUCUGGCAUUCAGGGUCUGGUGAGGGCUUUCUUGCUGCGUCCUUCCAUGGCAGAAGGGAUACGAAAGCAAAAGGGGGGCAGCCCCCUCAAACCUCUUUUGUGAGUAUACUAAUCCAUUCUUGUGGACACCACCCUCAUGACUGGAUCACCUCCUCUCCAGUCCUCACCUCUUGAUAUCAUCGCACAGGCAACUUGUCAACAUGGGAGUUUUAGGGGACACAGAUACCUAGCAGUGGUGACAUUGAUUUGAAUUGCUUUAGUUUGAGGUGGUUUUACAACAUCCAGGUGGAGGUGCCAACUGCGCAAGCCCUUGGAGAAGCAUGUUCAACCUCCAUUUACUGGACUCAUCAAUGGGAAGAAGAAACAAUUGAAUUUUCUCUAUAGAGCAUUGGAACAGGACCCCUGUGGAGAUGUGUUCCCAUCCCCAAAGUCAGGAUAUGCUGUGGUCAUAGUGGGACAAUGCUGGAAUGUCCCACUGUUUAUAGACUCUUCACAAACAACAGCAAGUGCUGUCUUGGAUGCUUUUUCCCAGUAACAACAACUGGUGAAACAAGCAGCACUGAGUUGCACAGAGAGGUUGAAUAACUUAACAAGAUCACACAGUGUCUAGUGGCAUUGGCCUGAUUCAAUCCAGGCAGUUGGGUUCUGGGUUUAUGCUGGGAACCACCACAAUAUACUUGUGAACUUGUGAUUCUCAGCCUCCUGAGUUGCUGGGAUUACAGGUGUGUGCCAAUGCACCUAGCUAAAAUGUAUUUAUUAUUGUACUUUGUGAUUUAAAAUAAAAUAUGUGAAAAACACUGGGCUGGAACACUCCUUACUCUGCCAACUAUUGAUGGCCAAACAAUAUUCCCCAUACUGUUACUUUCUCUAGUGAACAGACAUAGAUGUCAUGUAUGUCCUUUAAAUAUAUCAGCAGGCGCCUUGACACUGAGUGUGGGGUGCUGCAGAUGGGAAGCCAGAGGCUGAGAUCUGCUCACGUCUCGACUUGGGGAACCUGCGGCAGACAGGUGAAGUCACAGCUGCAGAGGCAAACCGACAACCUUGCACGAAGGCCACCACGCUUUGUGCAAAAAGUACUUCUGCAAGGACAUCUUCCCGGGACCUCCCUGUCCAACCUGGGACUGACGCCACUCUUGUUAUUGAUUCCUGUAGCCAAGACUGUUUUCCAAAACAUCUUAUGCAAUCCUCCUUGUCUCGCCCUUUAAGAUUUCCCCUUACCUCAAUCUCUUUGAAUAUGCCCACGUGUAUUCUUGGUACACUGCUCUGCUACUCCCAAAUACAUUCAUUAUCUUUGGAGAAUCUCUGUUUGUUGUACAGGUUGACAUAAAUAGCAGAUGCCUGCCAAUGAGCAAAGAACUGGGUCGUGAGUUG